UACGGAGGAUGCAAGCGUUAUCCGGAUUCAUUGGGUUUAAAGGGUGCGUAGGCGGGAUGAUAAGUCAGAGGUGAAAGCCAGCAGCUCAACUGUUGAACUGCCUUUGAUACUGUCGUUCUUGAAUAUGGUUGGCGUGGGCGGAAUGUGACAUGUAGCGGUGAAAUGCGUAGAUAUGUCACAGAACACCGAUCGCGAAGGCAGCUCACGAAACCAUCAUUGACGCUGAUGCACGAAAGCAUGGGGAGCAAACAGG
This 253-nucleotide ribosomal RNA is filed under the name uncultured bacterium. RNAcentral describes it as "partial 16S ribosomal RNA". It matches the Rfam family "Bacterial small subunit ribosomal RNA", at positions 524 to 776 of the family's 1533-position model. The record is from RNAcentral.